GUAACGGAGGAGCACGAAGGUGGGCUAAUCACGGUCGGACAUCGUGAGGUUAGUGCAAUGGCAUAAGCCCGCUUAACUGCGAGAGUGACGGCUCGAGCAGGUACGAAAGUAGGUCAUAGUGAUCCGGUGGUUCUGAAUGGAAGGGCCAUCGCUCAACGGAUAAAAGGUACUCCGGGGAUAACAGGCUGAUACCGCCCAAGAGUUCAUAUCGACGGCGGUGUUUGGCACCUCGAUGUCGGCUCAUCACAUCCUGGGGCUGAAGUCGGUCCCAAGGGUAUGGCUGUUCGCCAUUUAAAGUGGUACGCGAGCUGGGUUUAGAACGUCGUGAGACAGUUCGGUCCCUAUCUGCCGUGGGCGUUGGAUGAUUGAGGGGAGCUGCUCCUAGUACGAGAGGACCGGAGUGGACGAACCGCUGGUGUUCGGGUUGUGUCGCCAGACGCAUUGCCCGGUAGCUAAGUUCGGCACAGAUAAGCGCUGAAAGCAUCUAAGCGCGAAGCUGGC
This 501-nucleotide ribosomal RNA is filed under the name Salinivibrio kushneri. Its description in RNAcentral is "bacterial LSU rRNA". It matches the Rfam family "Bacterial large subunit ribosomal RNA", at positions 2297 to 2797 of the family's 2925-position model. The record is from RNAcentral. Lineage: Bacteria; Pseudomonadati; Pseudomonadota; Gammaproteobacteria; Vibrionales; Vibrionaceae.